AGAGAAGCGGAGGGAGUGGCUGUGGAAAGACGUCCAUGAUUUCGCCACAGUGAGUUUCCUAUCAUUUAUCGUUUCCCGGUACUGCUAGAAGAUGUCUCAGCAUGUCUUCUUGUCUGCCACGCGCCACAAUAAGAGUCCCAGGAAAAUCUCACUGUCGGGUUCACCACACUCUCCCCCACACUCAAAGGUUUACUCUUUCCCAGGUAAUGUAAACUGUAACUUUGUUUUGUGCAAAUAUAUUGUCCGUUUCAUUCCACUUCACUCAGUCAUGGCUGAGCAUAUAACCAACAGGCCAAUUAAGUGCUUAAUCAAGAAACUGACUGACUGUAAACUGAGAGGAGCAAGACAACCUGAUUGGAUCAAACUUUGGUGAGGAGAAUUACAUGUCAGUAAACUUAACUACUCAAAAAUUAUUGAGGGUGGUAAAACCAGAUUCAGUUGUACAAUGCACACUAUAUUUAGAUUUUGCUGUGUGUGUGUGUGUGUGUAUGUGUGUGUGUGUGUGUGUGUGUGUGUGUGUGUGUGUGUGUGUAA
Molecule: long non-coding RNA, 534 nt
Organism: Eriocheir sinensis (Chinese mitten crab)
Lineage: Eukaryota; Metazoa; Arthropoda; Malacostraca; Decapoda; Varunidae
Exons: 2
Source: RefSeq, a predicted model, not a curated record